AUCAAAUGUCACACCACUUUGAUAAUGCCCAGCGUCGUCAGAUCUCAGAAUCUAAGCAGGGUUGGGUUAGUUGGUUAGGUCUUGGAUGGGAGACCGCUGGGAAUACCAGGUGCCACAGUGGACA
RNAcentral lists this ribosomal RNA (124 nucleotides) under Periophthalmus magnuspinnatus. Lineage: Eukaryota; Metazoa; Chordata; Actinopteri; Gobiiformes; Gobiidae. The record is from RNAcentral.